Esox lucius (northern pike) is the source of this 388-nucleotide long non-coding RNA. The record is from Ensembl. Lineage: Eukaryota; Metazoa; Chordata; Actinopteri; Esociformes; Esocidae.
AAGAGGGACGGAUUCAUAAAGGGUGAAGACAUCUGGAAACAAACACUCAAGAGGAAGACAAAGCCAAACAGUAGGUGGAUGAAGGAUGUGGACGAGGAGGAUGAAAGGCCAACAAAAAAGCAAAAAGGAAGUCUGUACCCCAAAAGAUGCAGCAAACCAAAUGAUUGAAGGCCUGAAGAAGGAGCUGAUGGCAAAGCAAGCAUCUUUAGAGUCAACUACCGAAAAGGAAGAGUCAUCAGAUGAGGACCUACUGCCCAGAAACUGGAGUAAGGCGCAGCUGCAAAUAAAGGAACUUAAAAUAGAGAACAAGAGACUGAAAGAAAACAAUGUUGAAGAGAUACUAGAAGCCAUGAGAGUGCCACCUUCAGGCCAGAAUGUUCCAACCCUG